UUCGGGGUUUCCUUGCGUUCUUUCCCUCAGGGUUCAGUCUUCCACCCUUGCCCUUUGUCCCACGGUCGCAGGGAACAGGUGCUGUGUUUAGGACCCAGUGGAUGACGAAACUCACCAGAGACCUCAUAGCUAAAGAAUGGCCAGCCUGUGUUUUAAAUCUAGGCAAUCUGGACCCCAGAGCCGUCCAGCCUAAAGUAAAUAUUGCUCUAAGGAUACAGGAAAUCCAUUAGCCCUUAUUAUCCAUUGAGCCAGCAGGAUACUUACUAAGCUUGUGGAGAAGCCAGUGAACACUACAGGCUUGGCCUGCCCCAGAGAGCUGACCUUCUGGGGACCUGAGCAUCUGAGGAACAAAGCCUUUAUAACCCAGGAACUGUGUGGUGCUGCUUCGAAGGUUUAGCAUUUGCUGGAAAAGAAUAAGGAUAUGUGGGUCUACAUUCGUUAUUUAGGAUCAAGUAUCAAAACAAAAUCCCAUAUUAGGCUUUGGCAUAACCCGAAUUUGAAUUAUGGGAGAUAAAUGAUCUUGGCAUUAUACUGGAGUUUUUGGGCGGAAAAAGUACUAUAAAAGGAGACUCUAAGGCAUUGUGUAAUACUAAAACCACUAGUUGAAAAUUAAAACAUUUUAAAAUUCAUAAUAAAAGAUAGUUGCUAUUUCUCUGUAUUCUUUGAAUGGAGUUUAGCCAAAGAUAUAUGUUAUUAGUCAUUUCAGUCAAAGAAAUUGCACCAGUUGCUCAUUUGUGCAGUGAUUAUGUACAGGUUGCAAGUAGGGAUGGCAUUUGUCUGACAGUCUCCCAGCCUGAUUGUUGUUGGUAGUCCUCAUCCUUUCCCCCAGUUCCUGGGAG
This 839-nucleotide long non-coding RNA is filed under the name Equus asinus (donkey). RNAcentral's name for it is "lncRNA (ENSEASG00005030281.1)". Lineage: Eukaryota; Metazoa; Chordata; Mammalia; Perissodactyla; Equidae. The record is from RNAcentral.